Molecule: ribosomal RNA, 406 nt
Filed under: uncultured prokaryote
Description: partial 16S ribosomal RNA
Source: RNAcentral
CCCUACGGGGUGCCCAGGCCCUCGGCGUCGUCGGCGGCGUGUUCCUUGCGGUUUUUGGUGGUGACGUGCUUGGAGCCAAAAAGGCCGGAUAAGAGACUGACGGCACCAACGACCAAACCGAUCGGACCGGCGAGGCUAACAAAGGCCGUCCCGAGCGCUCCGGCAAAAGCGCCAAUGGAUGAAAAUGAGGUUGUAAGGGCCGCCGUUGCGGUUCCGAGUGCGCCAAACGAAUCGCUUAUAGCCUCGAUCCCCAAAAGCUCUGAAAUUCCGUUAACGUCAUAACCCUGUAGAAGGUUAGAGAUACUUCCGGUAAGGCCAUUGCUGUUAAUCAGGGCACUGGUCAGACUACCCCCGCUUCCCCCGGUUAGACUGCUGAUUGCGCUGGCGGUGGAAUUGGCGGGGGAGC